RNAcentral lists this ribosomal RNA (301 nucleotides) under uncultured bacterium. RNAcentral's name for it is "partial 16S ribosomal RNA". It matches the Rfam family "Bacterial small subunit ribosomal RNA", at positions 509 to 809 of the family's 1533-position model. The record is from RNAcentral.
CAGCCGCCGCGGGAAUACAGAGGGUGCAAGCGUUAAUCGGAAUUACUGGGCGUAAAGCGCGCGUAGGUGGUUUGUUAAGUUGGAUGUGAAAUCCCCGGGCUCAACCUGGGAACUGCAUCCAAAACUGGCAAGCUAGAGUAUGGUAGAGGGUGGUGGAAUUUCCUGUGUAGCGGUGAAAUGCGUAGAUAUAGGAAGGAACACCAGUGGCGAAGGCGACCACCUGGACUGAUACUGACACUGAGGUGCGAAAGCGUGGGGAGCAAACAGGAUUAGAUACCCCAGUAGUCCCUGUCUCUUAUAA